Molecule: unclassified non-coding RNA, 214 nt
Filed under: Hevea brasiliensis (rubber tree)
Lineage: Eukaryota; Viridiplantae; Streptophyta; Magnoliopsida; Malpighiales; Euphorbiaceae
Source: RNAcentral
GGGAAAGCUGCAUUUGGUGGGGGUGGUGGUCGGAGUGCUGAAAUUGGGGCUGGAGCAACAACGCCAUUUGCAAAUGGGCGUGGAGGUGCACCAACUGCACCAUUGGCCUGAGGCAUGCUUGGAGGCCCACUGGCAAACAAAGUGUGGGGCCUGCUCUUUUGGGAACUUGGAUUGCUUGCAGCCAGAACUCUCUCUGCUGGGGUACCAUGGCGCU